Molecule: ribosomal RNA, 1795 nt
Filed under: Paralongidorus koreanensis
Lineage: Eukaryota; Metazoa; Nematoda; Enoplea; Dorylaimida; Longidoridae
Description: SSU rRNA
Rfam family: Eukaryotic small subunit ribosomal RNA
Source: RNAcentral
AAAAACCAAUCGGGUCUAAAAGCCCGCUCUUUGGUGAAUCUGAAUAACUUUGCCGAUCGCACGGUCCUAGUACCGGCGACGUAUCUUUCAAGUGUCUGCCUUAUCAACUUUCGAUGGUAGGUUAUACGCCUACCAUGGUAGUAACGGGUAACGGAGAAUAAGGGUUCGACUCCGGAGAGGGAGCCUGAGAAACGGCUACCACAUCCAAGGAAGGCAGCAGGCGCGCAAAUUACCCACUUCCAGAACGGAGAGGUAGUGACGAAAAAUAACGAGACAGUCCUCUUCGAGGUCUGUCAUCGGAAUGGGUACAAUUUAAAUCCUUUAACGAGGAUCUAUUGGAGGGCAAGUCUGGUGCCAGCAGCCGCGGUAAUUCCAGCUCCAAUAGCGUAUAUUAAAGUUGUUGCGGUUAAAACGCUCGUAGUUGGAUCUGCGGCCUGGGAGAACGGUCCCCCGAAAGGGUGGUAACUGUUACUCUUAGCCUAAAAUUUUAGUCUACUCUACGGUGCCCUUAACCGGGUGCUUAGAGUGACUAGAACGUUUACUUUGAAAAAAUUAGAGUGCUUAAAGCAGGCGAAUUCGCCUGAAUAAGGUGCAUGGAAUAAUGGAAUAGGACCUCGGUUCUAUUUUGUUGGUUUUCGGAGCCCGAGGUAAUGAUUAAGAGGAACAGACGGGGGCAUUCGUAUUCCGGCGCUAGAGGUGAAAUUCUUGGACCGCCGGAAGACGGACGACUGCGAAAGCAUUUGCCAAGAAUGUUUUCAUUAAUCAAGAACGAAAGUUAGAGGUUCGAAGGCGAUCAGAUACCGCCCUAGUUCUAACCGUAAACGAUGACAACCAGCGAUUAGUCGGCGUUAAUAUAUUUGUUGGUUUUCGGAGCCCGAGGUAAUGAUUAAGAGGAACAGACGGGGGCAUUCGUAUUCCGGCGCUAGAGGUGAAAUUCUUGGACCGCCGGAAGACGGACGACUGCGAAAGCAUUUGCCAAGAAUGUUUUCAUUAAUCAAGAACGAAAGUUAGAGGUUCGAAGGCGAUCAGAUACCGCCCUAGUUCUAACCGUAAACGAUGACAACCAGCGAUUAGUCGGCGUUAAUAUAUGACCCGACUAGCAGCUUCCGGGAAACCAAAGUUUUUCGUUUCCGGGGGAAGUAUGGUUGCAAAGCUGAAACUUAAAGGAAUUGACGGAAGGGCACCACCAGGAGUGGAGCCUGCGGCUUAAUUUGACUCAACACGGGAAAACUCACCCGGCCCGGACACCGUAAGGAUUGACAGACUGAGAGCUCUUUCUUAAUUCGGUGGGUGGUGGUGCAUGGCCGUUCUUAGUUGGUGGAGCGAUUUGUCUGGUUAAUUCCGAUAACGAACGAGACUCUGGCCUAUUAAAUAGCCGGUAUAUAUUGAAAAGUUUACCGCGCUUCUUAGAGGGACAACCGGCGUCUAGCCGCGUGAAAUAGAGCAAUAACAGGUCUGUGAUGCCCUUAGAUGUCCGGGGCUGCACGCGCGCUACACUGAAAGAAUCAGUAUGCGCUUACGCCUAGUUCGGAAGAACCGGGUAACCCUAGCAAAUUCUUUCGUGCUUGGGAUAGGGAAUUGCAAUUAUUUCCCUUAAACGAGGAAUUCCCAGUAAAUGCGGGUCAUAAGCUCGCGUUGAUUACGUCCCUGCCCUUUGUACACACCGCCCGUCGCUACUACCGAUUGGAUGACUUAGUGAGGUCUUAGGACCGAGGUAAAGGAGCCUUCGUUAGUUCUUAUGCCUGGAAAAGGAUCGACCUACGUAUAUAGAGAACACUCAGUAGAGUCAGGUUGC